This 2895-nucleotide ribosomal RNA is filed under the name Escherichia coli. Its description in RNAcentral is "bacterial LSU rRNA". It matches the Rfam family "Bacterial large subunit ribosomal RNA". Lineage: Bacteria; Pseudomonadati; Pseudomonadota; Gammaproteobacteria; Enterobacterales; Enterobacteriaceae. The record is from RNAcentral.
ACUAAGCGUACACGGUGGAUGCCCUGGCAGUCAGAGGCGAUGAAGGACGUGCUAAUCUGCGAUAAGCGUCGGUAAGGUGAUAUGAACCGUUAUAACCGGCGAUUUCCGAAUGGGGAAACCCAGUGUGUUUCGACACACUAUCAUUAACUGAAUCCAUAGGUUAAUGAGGCGAACCGGGGGAACUGAAACAUCUAAGUACCCCGAGGAAAAGAAAUCAACCGAGAUUCCCCCAGUAGCGGCGAGCGAACGGGGAGCAGCCCAGAGCCUGAAUCAGUGUGUGUGUUAGUGGAAGCGUCUGGAAAGGCGCGCGAUACAGGGUGACAGCCCCGUACACAAAAAUGCACAUGCUGUGAGCUCGAUGAGUAGGGCGGGACACGUGGUAUCCUGUCUGAAUAUGGGGGGACCAUCCUCCAAGGCUAAAUACUCCUGACUGACCGAUAGUGAACCAGUACCGUGAGGGAAAGGCGAAAAGAACCCCGGCGAGGGGAGUGAAAAAGAACCUGAAACCGUGUACGUACAAGCAGUGGGAGCACGCUUAGGCGUGUGACUGCGUACCUUUUGUAUAAUGGGUCAGCGACUUAUAUUCUGUAGCAAGGUUAACCGAAUAGGGGAGCCGAAGGGAAACCGAGUCUUAACUGGGCGUUAAGUUGCAGGGUAUAGACCCGAAACCCGGUGAUCUAGCCAUGGGCAGGUUGAAGGUUGGGUAACACUAACUGGAGGACCGAACCGACUAAUGUUGAAAAAUUAGCGGAUGACUUGUGGCUGGGGGUGAAAGGCCAAUCAAACCGGGAGAUAGCUGGUUCUCCCCGAAAGCUAUUUAGGUAGCGCCUCGUGAAUUCAUCUCCGGGGGUAGAGCACUGUUUCGGCAAGGGGGUCAUCCCGACUUACCAACCCGAUGCAAACUGCGAAUACCGGAGAAUGUUAUCACGGGAGACACACGGCGGGUGCUAACGUCCGUCGUGAAGAGGGAAACAACCCAGACCGCCAGCUAAGGUCCCAAAGUCAUGGUUAAGUGGGAAACGAUGUGGGAAGGCCCAGACAGCCAGGAUGUUGGCUUAGAAGCAGCCAUCAUUUAAAGAAAGCGUAAUAGCUCACUGGUCGAGUCGGCCUGCGCGGAAGAUGUAACGGGGCUAAACCAUGCACCGAAGCUGCGGCAGCGACGCUUAUGCGUUGUUGGGUAGGGGAGCGUUCUGUAAGCCUGUGAAGGUGUGCUGUGAGGCAUGCUGGAGGUAUCAGAAGUGCGAAUGCUGACAUAAGUAACGAUAAAGCGGGUGAAAAGCCCGCUCGCCGGAAGACCAAGGGUUCCUGUCCAACGUUAAUCGGGGCAGGGUGAGUCGACCCCUAAGGCGAGGCCGAAAGGCGUAGUCGAUGGGAAACAGGUUAAUAUUCCUGUACUUGGUGUUACUGCGAAGGGGGGACGGAGAAGGCUAUGUUGGCCGGGCGACGGUUGUCCCGGUUUAAGCGUGUAGGCUGGUUUUCCAGGCAAAUCCGGAAAAUCAAGGCUGAGGCGUGAUGACGAGGCACUACGGUGCUGAAGCAACAAAUGCCCUGCUUCCAGGAAAAGCCUCUAAGCAUCAGGUAACAUCAAAUCGUACCCCAAACCGACACAGGUGGUCAGGUAGAGAAUACCAAGGCGCUUGAGAGAACUCGGGUGAAGGAACUAGGCAAAAUGGUGCCGUAACUUCGGGAGAAGGCACGCUGAUAUGUAGGUGAAGUCCCUCGCGGAUGGAGCUGAAAUCAGUCGAAGAUACCAGCUGGCUGCAACUGUUUAUUAAAAACACAGCACUGUGCAAACACGAAAGUGGACGUAUACGGUGUGACGCCUGCCCGGUGCCGGAAGGUUAAUUGAUGGGGUUAGCCGCAAGGCGAAGCUCUUGAUCGAAGCCCCGGUAAACGGCGGCCGUAACUAUAACGGUCCUAAGGUAGCGAAAUUCCUUGUCGGGUAAGUUCCGACCUGCACGAAUGGCGUAAUGAUGGCCAGGCUGUCUCCACCCGAGACUCAGUGAAAUUGAACUCGCUGUGAAGAUGCAGUGUACCCGCGGCAAGACGGAAAGACCCCGUGAACCUUUACUAUAGCUUGACACUGAACAUUGAGCCUUGAUGUGUAGGAUAGGUGGGAGGCUUUGAAGUGUGGACGCCAGUCUGCAUGGAGCCGACCUUGAAAUACCACCCUUUAAUGUUUGAUGUUCUAACGUUGACCCGUAAUCCGGGUUGCGGACAGUGUCUGGUGGGUAGUUUGACUGGGGCGGUCUCCUCCUAAAGAGUAACGGAGGAGCACGAAGGUUGGCUAAUCCUGGUCGGACAUCAGGAGGUUAGUGCAAUGGCAUAAGCCAGCUUGACUGCGAGCGUGACGGCGCGAGCAGGUGCGAAAGCAGGUCAUAGUGAUCCGGUGGUUCUGAAUGGAAGGGCCAUCGCUCAACGGAUAAAAGGUACUCCGGGGAUAACAGGCUGAUACCGCCCAAGAGUUCAUAUCGACGGCGGUGUUUGGCACCUCGAUGUCGGCUCAUCACAUCCUGGGGCUGAAGUAGGUCCCAAGGGUAUGGCUGUUCGCCAUUUAAAGUGGUACGCGAGCUGGGUUUAGAACGUCGUGAGACAGUUCGGUCCCUAUCUGCCGUGGGCGCUGGAGAACUGAGGGGGGCUGCUCCUAGUACGAGAGGACCGGAGUGGACGCAUCACUGGUGUUCGGGUUGUCAUGCCAAUGGCACUGCCCGGUAGCUAAAUGCGGAAGAGAUAAGUGCUGAAAGCAUCUAAGCACGAAACUUGCCCCGAGAUGAGUUCUCCCUGACUCCUUGAGAGUCCUGAAGGAACGUUGAAGACGACGACGUUGAUAGGCCGGGUGUGUAAGCGCAGCGAUGCGUUGAGCUAACCGGUACUAAUGAACCGUGAGGCUUAACC